GAGUUUGAUCGUGGCUCAGAUUGAACGCUGGCGGCAGGCCUAACACAUGCAAGUCGGGCGGUAGAGAGAAGCUUGCUUCUCUUGAGAGCGGCGGACGGGUGAGUAAUGCCUAGGAAUCUGCCUGGUAGUGGGGGAUAACGCUCGGAAACGGACGCUAAUACCGCAUACGUCCUACGGGAGAAAGCAGGGGACCUUCGGGCCUUGCGCUAUCAGAUGAGCCUAGGUCGGAUUAGCUAGUUGGUGAGGUAAUGGCUCACCAAGGCGACGAUCCGUAACUGGUCCUGAGAGGAUGAUCAGUCACACUGGAACUGAGACACGGUCCAGACUCCUACGGGAGGCAGCAGUGGGGAAUAUUGGACAAUGGGCGAAAGCCUGAUCCAGCCAUGCCGCGUGUGUGAAGAAGGUCUUCGGAUUGUAAAGCACUUUAAGUUGGGAGGAAGGGCAGUAAAUUAAUACUUUGCUGUUUGACGUUACCGACAGAAUAAGCACCGGCUAAACUCU
This 501-nucleotide ribosomal RNA is filed under the name uncultured bacterium. RNAcentral describes it as "bacterial SSU rRNA". It matches the Rfam family "Bacterial small subunit ribosomal RNA", at positions 9 to 505 of the family's 1533-position model. The record is from RNAcentral.